Molecule: ribosomal RNA, 295 nt
Filed under: Ooperipatellus decoratus
Lineage: Eukaryota; Metazoa; Onychophora; Udeonychophora; Euonychophora; Peripatopsidae
Description: partial 28S ribosomal RNA
Rfam family: Eukaryotic large subunit ribosomal RNA
Source: RNAcentral
CCAAGGAGUCUAACACGUGCGCGAGUCGUAGGGUUUCCCUCGAAGACCGGAGGCGCAAUGAAAAUGAACCGUAGGCGGGAUCCCCGUAAACUCCCAUUGGAGCCGGGGCGCACCACUGGCCUGUCUCGUUCGAUCGGCACGGUCUACCCUCCGGUGGCCGCGUCAGCGGAGGCGGAGCGAGAGCGUACACGUUAGGACCCGAAAGACGGUGAACUAUUCCCGGACAGGACGAAGCCGGAGGAAACUCCGGUGGAGGUCCGCAGCGAUUCUGACGUGCAAAUCGAUCGUCGGAUCC